AUUGAACGCUGGCGGCAGGCCUAACACAUGCAAGUCGAGCGGUAACACAAGGGAGCUUGCUUCUGAGGUGACGAGCGGCGGACGGGUGAGUAAUGCCUAGGGAUCUGCCCAGUCGAGGGGGAUAACAGUUGGAAACGACUGCUAAUACCGCAUACGCCCUACGGGGGAAAGGAGGGGACCUUCGGGCCUUCCGCGAUUGGAUGAACCUAGGUGGGAUUAGCUAGUUGGUGAGGUAAUGGCUCACCAAGGCGACGAUCCCUAGCUGUUCUGAGAGGAUGAUCAGCCACACUGGGACUGAGACACGGCCCAGACUCCUACGGGAGGCAGCAGUGGGGAAUAUUGCACAAUGGGGGAAACCCUGAUGCAGCCAUGCCGCGUGUGUGAAGAAGGCCUUCGGGUUGUAAAGCACUUUCAGUAGGGAGGAAAGGUAAUAGUUUAAUAAACUAUUACUGUGACGUUACCUACAGAAGAAGGACCGGCUAACUCCGUGCCAGCAGCCGCGGUAAUACGGAGGGUCCGAGCGUUAAUCGGAAUUACUGGGCGUAAAGCGUGCGCAGGCGGUUUGUUAAGCCAGAUGUGAAAUCCCCGGGCUCAACCUGGGAAUUGCAUUUGGAACUGGCGAACUAGAGUCUUGUAGAGGGGGGUAGAAUUCCAGGUGUAGCGGUGAAAUGCGUAGAUAUCUGGAGGAAUACCGGUGGCGAAGGCGGCCCCCUGGACAAAGACUGACGCUCAUGCACGAAAGCGUGGGGAGCAAACAGGAUUGGAUACCCUGGUAGUCCACGCCGUAAACGAUGUCUACUCGGAGUUUGGUGACUUAGUCACUGGGCUCCCAAGCUAACGCAUUAAGUAGACCGCCUGGGGAGUACGGCCGCAAGGUUAAAACUCAAAUGAAUUGACGGGGGCCCGCACAAGCGGUGGAGCAUGUGGUUUAAUUCGAUGCAACGCGAAGAACCUUACCUACUCUUGACAUCCACAGAAGAGACCAGAGA
Molecule: ribosomal RNA, 989 nt
Filed under: uncultured bacterium
Lineage: Bacteria
Description: bacterial SSU rRNA
Rfam family: Bacterial small subunit ribosomal RNA
Source: RNAcentral